This 69-nucleotide ribosomal RNA is filed under the name Cephaliophora sp. HSAUP074291. RNAcentral's name for it is "partial 28S ribosomal RNA". The stretch from base 13 to 69 matches the Rfam family "Eukaryotic large subunit ribosomal RNA", at positions 1 to 57 of the family's 3401-position model. The record is from RNAcentral. Lineage: Eukaryota; Fungi; Ascomycota; Pezizomycetes; Pezizales; Ascodesmidaceae.
AAUACAGAAGGUUGACCUCGAAUCAGGUAGGAAUACCCGCUGAACUUAAGCAUAUCAAUAAGCGGAGGA